UUUGAUGUUUAGGUCAUAUUCUAUUUAAACUUUUCUUAAGUUUCUCUUUAUGUAUUACAGCAUCUGCAGCCAGUGCAAGCUCUUCUACAACUGAGUCUCAAACAGCAGAACCUACAACAGCCUGUGCCACAACAAACACUCCUUCAACUGAGACUCAAACAUCCAUCACUUCUUUAAGUGAGUAACUAUAAUUAUCUUAGC
RNAcentral lists this long non-coding RNA (201 nucleotides) under Danio rerio (zebrafish). Its description in RNAcentral is "lncRNA (ENSDARG00000117686.1)". The record is from RNAcentral. Lineage: Eukaryota; Metazoa; Chordata; Actinopteri; Cypriniformes; Danionidae.